GUGGGGAAUAUUGCACAAUGGGGGAAACCCUGAUGCAGCGACGCCGCGUGAAGGAAGAAGUAUCUCGGUAUGUAAACUUCUAUCAGCAGGGAAGAUAGUGACGGUACCUGACUAAGAAGCCCCGGCUAACUACGUGCCAGCAGCCGCGGUAAUACGUAGGGGGCAAGCGUUAUCCGGAUUUACUGGGUGUAAAGGGAGCGUAGACGGUGUGGCAAGUCUGAUGUGAAAGGCAUGGGCUCAACCUGUGGACUGCAUUGGAAACUGUCAUACUUGAGUGCCGGAGGGGUAAGCGGAAUUCCUAGUGUAGCGGUGAAAUGCGUAGAUAUUAGGAGGAACACCAGUGGCGAAGGCGGCUUACUGGACGGUAACUGACGUUGAGGCUCGAAAGCGUGGGGAGCAAACAGGAUUAGAAACCCUGGUAGUCC
Molecule: ribosomal RNA, 425 nt
Filed under: uncultured bacterium
Lineage: Bacteria
Description: partial 16S ribosomal RNA
Rfam family: Bacterial small subunit ribosomal RNA
Source: RNAcentral